Molecule: long non-coding RNA, 386 nt
Organism: Xenopus laevis (African clawed frog)
Lineage: Eukaryota; Metazoa; Chordata; Amphibia; Anura; Pipidae
Exons: 3
Source: RefSeq, a predicted model, not a curated record
CAGAUGGUUAUCAGGACAUUUUCUGUAUUAACAGCUGCACUGGCAUUUGAGGAAACCACAAGAUAGGACCCAACAUGGAGCAACCUUCUCAUUUGAUGAAAAUGGAGAAUAUAUCACUGGGUUACGGAUCUAUAAAGGUAUCACAGAUGCAGAUGAAAUGAAUAACAACUUCUUUGCUGAGUUUUCACCUUGGGCUCCACCAGAUCAGCAGCUGAACCUCACUUCAUCAUUAAUAAAAUGGAAGACAAAUAACAAUGAAAUUCCAAUAGCUCAAUGCUCAGCCAGUUGUGCCCCUGGACAAAGGAAGGUGCCAAUACCUGGAGCCAAAACCUGCUGUUAUGAUUGUGCCCCUUGUUCCAAUGGAGAGAUCUCCAACACAACUGGUA